AGACCCGAAACCCGGUGAUCUAGCCAUGGGCAGGUUGAAGGUUGGGUAACACUAACUGGAGGACCGAACCGACUAAUGUUGAAAAAUUAGCGGAUGACCUGUGGCUGGGGGUGAAAGGCCAAUCAAACCGGGAGAUAGCUGGUUCUCCCCGAAAGCUAUUUAGGUAGCGCCUCGUGAAUUCAUCUCCGGGGGUAGAGCACUGUUUCGGCUAGGGGGCCAUCCCGGCUUACCAACCCGAUGCAAACUGCGAAUACCGGAGAAUGUUAUCACGGGAGACACACGGCGGGUGCUAACGUCCGUCGUGAAGAGGGAAACAACCCAGACCGCCAGCUAAGGUCCCAAAGUCAUGGUUAAGUGGGAAACGAUGUGGGAAGGCCCAGACAGCCAGGAUGUUGGCUUAGAAGCAGCCAUCAUUUAAAGAAAGCGUAAUAGCUCACUGGUCGAGUCGGCCUGCGCGGAAGAUGUAACGGGGCUAAACCAUGCACCGAAGCUGCGGCAGCGACACUCAGGUGUUGUUGGGUAGGGGAGCGUUCUGUAAGCCUGUGAAGGUGGCCUGUGAGGGUUG
Molecule: ribosomal RNA, 565 nt
Filed under: Salmonella enterica subsp. enterica serovar Virchow
Lineage: Bacteria; Pseudomonadati; Pseudomonadota; Gammaproteobacteria; Enterobacterales; Enterobacteriaceae
Description: partial 23S ribosomal RNA
Rfam family: Bacterial large subunit ribosomal RNA
Source: RNAcentral